CCUACGGGAGGCAGCAGUGAGGAAUAUUGGUCAAUGGGAGAGAUCCUGAACCAGCCAAGCCGCGUGAGGGAAGACGGCCUUAUGGGUUGUAAACCUCUUUUGUCGGAGAACAAAACCCGGGACGUGUCUCGGAAUGCGUGUAUCCGAAGAAAAAGCAUCGGCUAAUUCCGUGCCAGCAUCCGCGGUAAUACGGAGGAUGCGAGCGUUAACCGGAUUUACUGGGUGUAAAGGGAGCGUAGACGGCUAAUCAAGUCAGAAGUGAAAGCCCAGGGCUCAACCUUGGGAGUGCUUUUGAAACUGAGUAGCUAGAGUGCAGGAGAGGUAAGCGGAAUUCCUAGUGUAGCGGUGAAAUGCGUAGAUAUUAGGAGGAACACCAGUGGCGAAGGCGGCUUACUGGACUGUAACUGACGUUGAGGCUCGAAAGCGUGGGGAGCAAACAGGAUUAGAUACCCCAGUAGUC
This 460-nucleotide ribosomal RNA is filed under the name uncultured bacterium. Its description in RNAcentral is "partial 16S ribosomal RNA". It matches the Rfam family "Bacterial small subunit ribosomal RNA", at positions 338 to 795 of the family's 1533-position model. The record is from RNAcentral.